RNAcentral lists this ribosomal RNA (488 nucleotides) under Galkinius depressus. RNAcentral describes it as "partial 12S small subunit ribosomal RNA". The record is from RNAcentral. Lineage: Eukaryota; Metazoa; Arthropoda; Thecostraca; Balanomorpha; Pyrgomatidae.
UGUGUUUUAUUUUUUAUAAAGAAUUUUUUAUAUAUAAUUAGGUAGAAUUUUUUUAUAUAGUAAAAACUUGUAGUUUAAAACAUAAAAAUUAUGGUAUUGGACCAGGAUUAGAUACCCUGUUACUCAUCAAUAGUUAAUUUUGGAAUAGUAAUAAUAAUGAAAUUUAACGGAUUUGGCGGCAAGAUAGCCAUUUAGAGGAACCUGCCCUAUAAACGAUGAACCACGAAAAACUUUGCUUUUACUUGUAACCAGUUUGUAUACCGCUGUUGUCAGUCAGUUUCUUUAGAAAACUUUCUUUUAUGAAAAAAUCAUCGACUUCAAGUAAAGGUGCAGCUUAUGUAAAAGAUAGAGGUGGGUUACAUUUAUAAGAAUAAAACAAAUGAAGUUCAUGAAAUAACUUUUGAAGGUGGAUUUAAUUGUAAAGUUUAAUAAGACUUGAUGAGAGCUCUAUCUUGUGUACACACCGCCCGUCGCUCUCUUUUUUAAAC